This 406-nucleotide ribosomal RNA is filed under the name uncultured Glomeromycotina. Its description in RNAcentral is "SSU rRNA". It matches the Rfam family "Eukaryotic small subunit ribosomal RNA", at positions 688 to 1092 of the family's 1831-position model. Lineage: Eukaryota; Fungi; Glomeromycota. The record is from RNAcentral.
GCCGAUUCCUCCUUCUUGUAGAACCGUAAUGCCAUUAAUUUGGUGUUGCGGGGAAACAGGACUGUUACUUUGAAAAAAUUAGAGUGUUUAAAGCAGGCUAGCGCCUGAAUACAUUAGCAUGGAAUAAUGAAAUAGGACGUUCGAACCUAUUUUGUUGGUUUCUAGGAUUGACGUAAUGAUUAAUAGGGAUAGUUGGGGGCAUUAGUAUUCAAUUGUCAGAGGUGAAAUUCUUGGAUUUAUUGAAGACUGACUACUGCGAAAGCAUUUGCCAAGGAUGUUUUCAUUAAUCAAGAACGAAAGUUAGGGGAUCGAAGACGAUCAGAUACCGUCGUAGUCUUAACCAUAAACUAUGCCGACUAGGGAUCGGAUGAUGUUAAUUUUUUAAUGACUCAUUCGGCGCCUUACG